CACCACUAUAAUUUCCCUCUGCUUUCAGUAGCGGAAAUUCAGAUUAUUUCAGCAAGAGCUAGUAGACCUCGUCUUGUCUUUGCCGCAAGAAUAAAGAGUGAAUAUUUGCUACAAGUGCUAUCUGUAGAGGAAGGGAGCAACCAAGAAUCCACCUGUGCAGGGACAGUCCACUGAAAGUGACUCUUCUAGAAAAGCAGGAUUUUAACAGCCAUAAAUUAUGGCAUUCACAUACCUCAAAAGGCUCUUACUUUUGUCAACAACAGUAUAACAGAGUUGGAAGCAAUCUUAACACUAGGCCAACAGUCAAGACCCAAACAAUAUCC
RNAcentral lists this long non-coding RNA (323 nucleotides) under Naja naja (Indian cobra). RNAcentral describes it as "lncRNA (ENSNNAG00000010312.1)". The record is from RNAcentral. Lineage: Eukaryota; Metazoa; Chordata; Lepidosauria; Squamata; Elapidae.